GGCUUUUUGAUUUAAUUUAAAGUCUGGCCUGCCCAAUGAUUAUUUGAAUGGCCGCGGUAUUUUGACCGUGCUAAGGUAGCAUAAUCAUUAGUUUUUUAAUUGAAGACUGGAAUGAAAGGUUUGAUGAGAAAAUUUCUGUCUCUUAAUAAUUAUAUUGAAAUUUAUUUUUAAGUUAAAAAGCUUAAAUUUAAUUGAAAGACGAUAAGACCCUAUAGAGUUUUAUUAAAUUUUUAAUUUUAUAUUUUAGUAUAAAUUUUAUUUAAUUAUAAAUUUAAUUUGAUUGGGGUGAUUAGAAAAUUAAUAUAACUUUUCUUUAACUUAACAAUAAUACUUGGUUAUAUGAUCCAUAAAUUAUGAUUACAAUAUUAAAUUACCUUAGGGAUAACAGCGUAAUUUUUCUUGAGAGUUCUUAUCGAAAGAGGAGAUUGCGACCUCGAUGUUGGAUUAAGAUAAAAUUUUGGUGCAGAAGCUAAAAUAUUAAGUCUGUUCGACUUUUUAAAUCUUACA
This 507-nucleotide ribosomal RNA is filed under the name Percolaspis pulchella. RNAcentral describes it as "partial 16S ribosomal RNA". It matches the Rfam family "Bacterial large subunit ribosomal RNA", at positions 1819 to 2600 of the family's 2925-position model. The record is from RNAcentral. Lineage: Eukaryota; Metazoa; Arthropoda; Insecta; Coleoptera; Chrysomelidae.